RNAcentral lists this ribosomal RNA (505 nucleotides) under uncultured bacterium. Its description in RNAcentral is "partial 16S ribosomal RNA". It matches the Rfam family "Bacterial small subunit ribosomal RNA", at positions 28 to 507 of the family's 1533-position model. The record is from RNAcentral.
GACGAACGCUGGCGGCGUGCCUAAUACAUGCAAGUAGAACGCACAGUUUAUACCGUAGCUUGCUACACCAUAGACUGUGAGUUGCGAACGGGUGAGUAACGCGUAGGUAACCUGCCUGGUAGCGGAGGAUAACUAUUGGAAACGAUAGCUAAUACCGCAUAAUAUUCAUUAUUGCAUGAUAAUUGAUUGAAAGAUGCAACUGCAUCACUACCAGAUGGACCUGCGUUGUAUUAGCUAGUAGGUGAGGUAACGGCUCACCUAGGCGAAGAUACAUAGCCGACCUGAGGGGGGGAUCGGCCAACCCUGGAACGGGACACGGCCCAGAACUCUUAGGGAGGGAAGCGGAGGGAAUCUUUGGCAAUGGAGGAAAGGCUGACCGGGCAACGCCGGGGGAGUGAAUAAGGUUUUCGGAUCGGAAAGCUCUGUUGUAAGGGGAGAACGGGUGUGAGAGUGGAAAGUUCACACUGUGACGGUACCUAACCAGAAAGGGACGGCUAACUACGUG